UGGGAACGUGCCCUUCGGUUCGGAAUAACUCAGGGAAACUUGAGCUAAUACCGGAUACGCCCUUUUGGGGAAAGGCUUGCUGCCGAAGGAUCGGCCCGCGUCUGAUUAGCUAGUUGGUGGGGUAAUGGCCCACCAAGGCGACGAUCAGUAGCUGGUCUGAGAGGAUGAUCAGCCACACUGGGACUGAGACACGGCCCAGACUCCUACGGGAGGCAG
Molecule: ribosomal RNA, 216 nt
Filed under: uncultured bacterium
Lineage: Bacteria
Description: partial 16S ribosomal RNA
Rfam family: Bacterial small subunit ribosomal RNA
Source: RNAcentral